This 371-nucleotide ribosomal RNA is filed under the name uncultured bacterium. RNAcentral's name for it is "bacterial SSU rRNA". It matches the Rfam family "Bacterial small subunit ribosomal RNA", at positions 30 to 399 of the family's 1533-position model. The record is from RNAcentral.
AUUGAACGCUGGCGGCAUGCCUUACACAUGCAAGUCGAACGGCAGCACGGGAGCUUGCUCCUGGUGGCGAGUGGCGAACGGGUGAGUAAUGCAUCGGAACGUGCCCUGAAGUGGGGGAUAACGUAGCGAAAGUUACGCUAAUACCGCAUAUUCUGUGAGCAGGAAAGCAGGGGAUCUUCGGACCUUGCGCUUUUGGAGCGGCCGAUGUCGGAUUAGCUAGUUGGUGGGGUAAAGGCCCACCAAGGCGACGAUCCGUAGCGGGUCUGAGAGGAUGAUCCGCCACACUGGAACUGAGACACGGUCCAGACUCCUACGGGAGGCAGCAGUGGGGAAUUUUGGACAAUGGGCGCAAGCCUGAUCCAGCCAUGCCG